GGUUAAGCGACUAAGCGUACACGGUGGAUGCCCUGGCAGUCAGAGGCGAUGAAGGACGUGCUAAUCUGCGAAAAGCGCCGGCGAGGUGAUAUGAACCCUUGACCCGGCGAUGUCCGAAUGGGGAAACCCAGUGCAAUCCGUUGCACUAUCGUUAACUGAAUACAUAGGUUAACGAGGCGAACCGGGGGAACUGAAACAUCUAAGUACCCCGAGGAAAAGAAAUCAACCGAGAUUCCCCCAGUAGCGGCGAGCGAACGGGGAGCAGCCCAGAGUCUGAAUCAGCUUGUGUGUUAGUGGAAGCGUCUGGAAAGUCGCACGGUACAGGGUGAAAGUCCCGUACACGAAAGCACACAGGCUGUGAACUCGAAGAGUAGGGCGGGACACGUGGUAUCCUGUCUGAAUAUGGGGGGACCAUCCUCCAAGGCUAAAUACUCCUGACUGACCGAUAGUGAACCAGUACCGUGAGGGAAAGGCGAAAAGAACCCCGGCGAGGGGAGUGAAAAAGAACCUGAAACCGUGUACGUACAAGCAGUGGGAGCACCUUCGUGGUGUGACUGCGUACCUUUUGUAUAAUGGGUCAGCGACUUAUAUUCUGUAGCAAGGUUAACCGUAUAGGGGAGCCGAAGGGAAACCGAGUCUUAACUGGGCGUUAAGUUGCAGGGUAUAGACCCGAAACCCGGUGAUCUAGCCAUGGGCAGGUUGAAGGUUGGGUAACACUAACUGGAGGACCGAACCGACUAAUGUUGAAAAAUUAGCGGAUGACCUGUGGCUGGGGGUGAAAGGCCAAUCAAACCGGGAGAUAGCUGGUUCUCCCCGAAAGCUAUUUAGGUAGCGCCUCGUGAACUCAUCUUCGGGGGUAGAGCACUGUUUCGGCUAGGGGGCCAUCCCGGCUUACCAACCCGAUGCAAACUACGAAUACCGAAGAAUGUUAUCACGGGAGACACACGGCGGGUGCUAACGUCCGUCGUGAAGAGGGAAACAACCCAGACCGCCAGCUAAGGUCCCAAAGUCAUGGUUAAGUGGGAAACGAUGUGGGAAGGCCCAGACAGCCAGGAUGUUGGCUUAGAAGCAGCCAUCAUUUAAAGAAAGCGUAAUAGCUCACUGGUCGAGUCGGCCUGCGCGGAAGAUGUAACGGGGCUAAACCAUGCACCGAAGCUGCGGCAGCGACGCUUAUGCGUUGUUGGGUAGGGGAGCGUUCUGUAAGCCGUUGAAGGUGGCCUGUGAGGGUUGCUGGAGGUAUCAGAAGUGCGAAUGCUGACAUAAGUAACGAUAAAGCGGGUGAAAAGCCCGCUCGCCGGAAGACCAAGGGUUCCUGUCCAACGUUAAUCGGGGCAGGGUGAGUCGACCCCUAAGGCGAGGCCGAAAGGCGUAGUCGAUGGGAAACAGGUUAAUAUUCCUGUACUUGGUGUUACUGCGAAGGGGGGACGGAGAAGGCUAUGUUAGCCGGGCGACGGUUGUCCCGGUUUAAGCAUGUAGGCGGAGGUUCCAGGUAAAUCCGGUACCUUUUAACGCUGAGGUGUGAUGACGAGGCACUACGGUGCUGAAGUAACAAAUGCCCUGCUUCCAGGAAAAGCCUCUAAGCAUCAGGUAACACGAAAUCGUACCCCAAACCGACACAGGUGGUCAGGUAGAGAAUACCAAGGCGCUUGAGAGAACUCGGGUGAAGGAACUAGGCAAAAUGGUGCCGUAACUUCGGGAGAAGGCACGCUGAUAUGUAGGUGAAGCCCCUGCGGGUGGAGCUGAAAUCAGUCGAAGAUACCAGCUGGCUGCAACUGUUUAUUAAAAACACAGCACUGUGCAAACACGAAAGUGGACGUAUACGGUGUGACGCCUGCCCGGUGCCGGAAGGUUAAUUGAUGGGGUUAGCGGUAACGCGAAGCUCUUGAUCGAAGCCCCGGUAAACGGCGGCCGUAACUAUAACGGUCCUAAGGUAGCGAAAUUCCUUGUCGGGUAAGUUCCGACCUGCACGAAUGGCGUAAUGAUGGCCAGGCUGUCUCCACCCGAGACUCAGUGAAAUUGAACUCGCUGUGAAGAUGCAGUGUACCCGCGGCAAGACGGAAAGACCCCGUGAACCUUUACUAUAGCUUGACACUGAACACUGGUCCUUGAUGUGUAGGAUAGGUGGGAGGCUUUGAAGCGUGGACGCCAGUCUGCGUGGAGCCAUCCUUGAAAUACCACCCUUUAAUGGCUGGUGUUCUAACGUAGACCCGUAAUCCGGGUUGCGGACAGUGUCUGGUGGGUAGUUUGACUGGGGCGGUCUCCUCCCAAAGAGUAACGGAGGAGCACGAAGGUUAGCUAAUCCUGGUCGGACAUCAGGAGGUUAGUGCAAUGGCAUAAGCUAGCUUGACUGCGAGAGUGACGGCUCGAGCAGGUGCGAAAGCAGGUCAUAGUGAUCCGGUGGUUCUGAAUGGAAGGGCCAUCGCUCAACGGAUAAAAGGUACUCCGGGGAUAACAGGCUGAUACCGCCCAAGAGUUCAUAUCGACGGCGGUGUUUGGCACCUCGAUGUCGGCUCAUCACAUCCUGGGGCUGAAGUAGGUCCCAAGGGUAUGGCUGUUCGCCAUUUAAAGUGGUACGCGAGCUGGGUUUAGAACGUCGUGAGACAGUUCGGUCCCUAUCUGCCGUGGGCGCUGGAGAAUUGAGGGGGGCUGCUCCUAGUACGAGAGGACCGGAGUGGACGCAUCACUGGUGUUCGGGUUGUCAUGCCAAUGGCACUGCCCGGUAGCUAAAUGUGGAAGAGAUAAGUGCUGAAAGCAUCUAAGCACGAAACUUGCCCCGAGAUGAGUUCUCCCUGAGACUUAAAGUCUCCUGAAGGAACGUUAAAGACGAUGACGUUGAUAGGUCGGGUGUGUAAGCGCAGCGAUGCGUUGAGCUAACCGAUACUAAUGAACCGUGAGGCUUAACCUU
Molecule: ribosomal RNA, 2905 nt
Filed under: Enterobacter cloacae
Lineage: Bacteria; Pseudomonadati; Pseudomonadota; Gammaproteobacteria; Enterobacterales; Enterobacteriaceae
Description: 23S ribosomal RNA
Rfam family: Bacterial large subunit ribosomal RNA
Source: RNAcentral